UUCACAAAGUAGAAUUUCUGGCUUUCACUCAGAUCUAGUUAACAGCAAAUUGCUGUCUCCUGGAGGAAAGCAAAGGGCAGGGAGGGAAGUUAGGCUUCCUAAACCAUGCUUUCUUUCUUAACAAGGCUAAAGACAAGUAUGCCCUUUGCCAGUCACUCAAUUCCUUGAUUUUUUUUUCACCUUUUUGGUUUCAUGCAUUUCAAACUUGGUUGCUUCAGAUGCAUGAUAUUUUUAUGCAUAUUGACAUGAAAGUUUAAGAACAAUUUUGGGGGUCAGGGACAACACCACAUUUAGCAUUAUAAAAAUUAUUAUUAUUAUUUUAAAACUUUUACCCAGUUGAAAUGACUACAGAUAAAGUAGAAAUUUCCUGUGAACGGAAGUCUUGCAAAGAAACUGAACUGUGAUUUGACUGAAUUAUAUUAUGACCCUUUGAAAACAGCAUUUGUGCUUCUGGGAAGUUACUAAGGAUUGUAUUAGGUCAGUGUUAUAAACAAAAUAGAAAACUAAUUUUAUAAUUUUGCUUCCAUGCUUAGGGUUAUAUAUAACAACAUUUACAAUUGUCUUCAUAAAUGAACUCACUCAGGUGGAAUACAUUUCAUUGUGGUGAAGAUUACAUUUUAUUUGGUAAUCACAUUUGUCUGAAAAGAAAAGUGAAGAUGCUCAUUCACAGUACUUGUUCUCUGGUGAGUAGCAUCCAUUUUGUUGGAUUCCAACACAGAUGAUGAUUAAUAGUACCAUCUUUUGACUUGAACUACAGCAGCCUUGGCAGCUUCCAAAAAUGAAGUUGUGGCAGUUUUUUUUCACACAGUUUCUCAACUUUGAAUGAAACUGGAUUAACUGAAGAAGAGAACCCUGAAGUGCUUUUCCUAGUUUCGGCUGCUUCAUUUUAAUACGUUUCCACUGGCAGAUUUGUACAAACCAAUGCAAUGAAAAAACUUUGAAAAUUCUGUUGUUGAGACUGUGCACUGCAGUAGUAAAAAAAAUACUGUUGGAUUGAAAAACAUUUUAAUGACCUUGCUUACACAGAUGUUCCACUUACAGUUUGUUGUUAAGGUGCCUUAAAGGUCAAGCCAUAGAAUCCACUGCUUCUGCUUUGGCCUCAUAUGGUAUGUCAAAAUUUUACACCACUAGAGAGAGCAAGGGAUGGGUUCCGCGCCAUUAGUCUCACUGUUUGAACUACCUACUAUGUACUUCGCUCUCCGAUUUCUCCGUAUCCAACAUGAAGCCAUGUUCUUGAACUCAUAUUUACAUACUAGAAUUUUGUUCAUGUAAAAUUGUAAUUUUUUUUGCAUUCCAAUAGUAAUUAAAAAAUA
Long non-coding RNA from Gavialis gangeticus (Gharial), 1313 nucleotides. RefSeq lists it as uncharacterized. The record is from RefSeq and is a predicted model, not a curated record. Lineage: Eukaryota; Metazoa; Chordata; Crocodylia; Gavialidae. The transcript is spliced from 2 exons.